RNAcentral lists this ribosomal RNA (528 nucleotides) under uncultured bacterium. RNAcentral's name for it is "partial 16S ribosomal RNA". It matches the Rfam family "Bacterial small subunit ribosomal RNA", at positions 355 to 874 of the family's 1533-position model. The record is from RNAcentral.
UGGGGAAUUUUGGACAAUGGGCGAAAGCCUGAUCCAGCAAUGCCGCGUGUGUGAAGAAGGCCUUCGGGUUGUAAAGCACUUUUGUCCGGAAAGAAAUCCUUGGCUCUAAUACAGUCGGGGGAUGACGGUACCGGAAGAAUAAGCACCGGCUAACUACGUGCCAGCAGCCGCGGUAAUACGUAGGGUGCAAGCGUUAAUCGGAAUUACUGGGCGUAAAGCGUGCGCAGGCGGUUUGCUAAGACCGAUGUGAAAUCCCCGGGCUCAACCUGGGAACUGCAUUGGUGACUGGCAGGCUAGAGUAUGGCAGAGGGGGGUAAAUUCCACGUGUAGCAGUGAAAUGCGUAGAGAUGUGGAGGAAUACCGAUGGCGAAGGCAGCCCCCUGGGCCAAGUACUGACGCUCAUGCACGAAAGCGUGGGGAGCAAACNGGAUUAGAUACCCUGGUAGUCCACGCCCUAAANGAUGUCAACUAGUUGUUGGGGGAUUCAUUUUCCUUAGUAACGUAGCUAACGCGUGAAGUUGACCGCCU